GACGGAGGGUGCAAGCGUUGUUCGGAAUUACUGGGCGUAAAGGGCGCGUAGGCGGCUCGCUAAGUCGGAUGUGAAAACUCUGGGCUCAACCCAGAGCCUGCAUUCGAAACUGACGAGCUCGAGUUCUGGAGGGGAAAGCGGAAUUCCUGGUGUAGCGGUGAAAUGCGUAGAUAUCAGGAGGAACACCGGUGGCGAAGGCGGCUUUCUGGACAGAAACUGACGCUGAUGCGCGAAAGCUAGGGGAGCAAACAGG
Molecule: ribosomal RNA, 253 nt
Filed under: uncultured bacterium
Lineage: Bacteria
Description: partial 16S ribosomal RNA
Rfam family: Bacterial small subunit ribosomal RNA
Source: RNAcentral